Molecule: non-coding RNA, 91 nt
Filed under: Lachnospiraceae bacterium
Lineage: Bacteria; Bacillati; Bacillota; Clostridia; Lachnospirales; Lachnospiraceae
Description: Bacterial small subunit ribosomal RNA
Rfam family: Bacterial small subunit ribosomal RNA
Source: Rfam by way of RNAcentral
UUUUUCGAGAGUUCGAUCCUGGCUCAGGAUGAACGCUGGCGGCGUGCCUAACACAUGCAAGUCGAGCGGACCUUAGAGAGUGAACAGCUUG